CAGGUGUGGUACUAGACUAAAAAUGAGUCUAGCCAUUCAGAGUUAGCAAAGAGUGGUGAAAAUGAUGCAAACAAAACUCUGAAUGUAUGAUCCAUUACAUGAUUCUCAAGCCCCUAAGUGAGAUAAAUUAAGUCCAGAUUAAGUUCAAAUAUAUAAGAUAAAGCUCAAUUUAUCCGAAUUUCAAAGAGAUAGGGACUACUAUAGAGUGAUCAAGUGAUGGAUUUUCCUGAACUUCCAAGUUAUCGAAUAGUGCUAAAAUGGUCCCAAGGCAAUGAAAUCAAGCAAGGUGCAAUUCCCCAAAAAAUAUCAUAGUUCUCAAACAAAUUUUGACUAAAUAAAAGACACGAUUUUGACUUGAUAAAAACGACUAACUCAAAAGAAAAGAUCAAAAGAAACAACCAAAGCAAACUCGAUUAGUAGAGAAAUGACAUCCUCCCCCCGUCUUGCUUCACACCGAAUCUGUGUGAAAACAUUUCGAAGAAAUGAUGCCAUACACACUCAAAAGAAAGCAAGAGAAAAAUAAAGAAAUGGUAGGAAAAUCAGAAAUACCUGGUGGGUUGCCUCCCACAAAGCGCUUGUUUUAUGUCACUAGCUUGACCGGAUUCUUGUGGACUAAUGGGUACGAGUGCGGGAGCUUUCUCCGAAACAAGGUCCCCAAUCAUUCAACUUUAGCUUCAGAAUUUUACCAACCACACUUUUCACAGCUUUUCUACCCUUCUCUUUCCAUUCAGAAGUGAGAAUGCUCCUAGCUUUGGAGAAAGGUUUCGAGGUCCCUUUACAUUGUACCUUAUACUCAAUGGUAUCCCCGACACAACGCAAUGGUAUCAAAGCUAUAUGAGGAUCUCCCUUGAUCCUUUUCUGCUUCACUAUAUCCUUAGCAGCAAUUUUCUUUAUUGGAAUGUGAGUAUCUCCAUCCAGGACUUCUUUGACCUCACUCCAACCACUGCAUUUCUUUACACACUUUUCGCUAGAUUCAUCAUUCGUGUCAAUAGAAAAUGCCUGACCGUCAAUGGUGGGAUUUUUCCUCGUCUCUCUCAUGUCAAACUCCAAAGAGUAGUCUCCAAUCUGCAAGCUGAUCUUGCUUCUUCUCACAUCAAUUAUAGCUCCUGCGGUGUUCAGAAAUGGCCUCCCAAGAAUGAGAGGAUCUUGUGGUUCCUUGUCAAGCUCCAAGACAAUAAAAUCAGUUCGAAUAUAGAAAUUUCCCACUCGAACAUGCACGUCUUCCGCCAAACCCACCGGGUAUCGCACAGAGCGAUCGGCUAGAAUCAAAGAGAUCCUUGAUGGCUUGAAAUCGGUAAUGCCUAGACGCUUUGACAUAGAAAAAGGCAUCAAGUUAACACUAGCUCCCAAAUCGCAAAGACACCUCUCAAAUAUGGACUUCCCAAUCCGGCAAGGCAAAACAAAACUCCCUGGAUCAUCGAGCUUCUCAGGAAUAGUGACUAGAAGGAUGGUGCUGGAAGUGCUGACCAUCUCUUUCCCUGCUACCACCUCUAAAGCAUCACUGAGUUGUACCUUGCUUUGUUGUCUCUGAGACUCCUCCAUCUCAGCAUACUCCUUACUCUUAGAGAUCAACAUAACUCCUUCCUCAAUGCUCCUCUUGUUGGACAAGACAUCUUUCAGGUAAUUUCUGUAGGUUGGAACGUGGAGGACCAACUGUAAGAAAGGAAGUCUCACAUACAACUGUUUCAUGAUCUCAUCAAAGCGUGCAUACUCUUUCUGUUUCUGAAGCUGUUUCUCACGGCCUGGAAAUGAAAGCUUAGGAACAUAGGAUGGCGGCUCCACAUAUAAAGGUUCAUCAACCUUUCCAAUCUUGUCCUCUACAGGUGUCUUAACAACAAUAGUUUUAGCUUCCUCCUGUUUGGCAACAUCAAUCUCUCUGGGCUCUUCCUGAAUCAUAAUUGCAUAACAAUGUUCCUUACCCUUGGAUUCUACUUUCCCAGGAUGAGCACCGGUUGGUCGUGUAGAGGCUGAAGCAAUUUGAGCAACCUGACUCUCAAGAGUCUUGACAUGCGAGGAUAGCGUUGUAAACUUUCCAUUGAGAUCAUUGUACAUGCUAUCCACCUUUACAUUGAUCUCAGCAGCAUUCUUCUUCUGACCUUCAAGAAUUUGCUUCAUCAUCAAUUUCAUCUCAUUAUCUCCAGAUAUAGAUGCAUGAUUGGUACUUGCAGGAGGUUGGAAUUGUCCCUGGUAGCUCCACUUAGUCUGAAAACCGUGACUAGGCUGAAAUUGCUGACCAUGUGACCCUGCCUGAGUCGGAUACACCUGAUCUUGAGGAUUUUCGACAUUGGUACUCUUGUAAGAAAGGUUAGGAUGGUUCCGGUAAUUCUGAUUGAACCCUCUGUUCUGAUAGUUGCCAUACCCAUUCACGAAAUUCAAAUCUGCCUGUAGAUCGUCAGAACCGUCUCCACUAAACUCUUGAUGCACUGGACCAUUACCCGAAUCCUCACAGUAGUUGACAACCCGUGAUCUCUCUUGAGGAGCUGCUCAACCUUAGCUGUUGAUGUCUCUGUAUUUUACCGCUUUUAAGCACACUUUUCUCGUGCAUUUAGCUAAGUUUCAUCUCUCUUUCAUUGCAUCCAUAGUCCUUUUCAUAUCAUUUUCAUCACUUAGUACGAUUUGCAUUGCAUGGCAUAGCAUAUUGCAUAUUGGAUGUGUUUCAGGUAUUUGGAGCUUAUUUGGGACUUAAUGGAUGCAAAGAAGAGAAUUGAUGAUUCAGAGCCAGUCUGAAGUCCCUCAAAGAUCGACUCAGAUGGAAGUCUUUCAUUGCGAUUUAGCUUCAAAGCUCUUCAUACAAGUUAUAGGAAAUUGAGUUACCUUUCCAACGGAGGUGAUUUCAAGCGAAUCAGAGCUUUGAUGCAAGAAUUAUGGUGGUUUUAAUGGAGACAUAUGCAGAAAACUGGUUGGACUCGACAGGAGGUCGAGCAGGCGCUCAGAAACCACCAAGGGUUGGACUCGACCACACCAACUCGACGUGAGGUCGACUAGGAGGCCAUAAAGGAGCACCCUUUGAAGAAUCACUCCCCCUCGACCACAUGGACUCGACGACACGUCGAGUAGGACGUCAUAAAGCUGUCUGGACACGGACUCGACCACACGGACUCGAUGACACGUCGAGUUGGACCACCCACCGACUUCUUAUUUUGUCUUGUAGCCAAAUUAGGGCAACCUAGUAUUCCUAUAAAUAGGGGUACACGCUAUUAUCCAGAGGAUAUUCCUUUUACCCAGCAGAUAUGCCGCUGCUCUCUCAUAAACCCUAGUUUUUGUAAUCGUUUUUCCUGCUGAAUCUUUGAGUUUUUGCAUUUCUUUUCUUCAUCAAAGUUGUAGAUCUUCUUCUCAUCUAUAACAUACUUGCUUUUUAAUGAUUUAUGGGUUUAUGCAAUUUUCUGGGUUUUUAUGCAUAAUGUUCUUCAGUGUUCUUGAGUAGUGGAUUAGGGUUCUUGAGGAUGGGAUAGAUUAGGUGUGGAAUCCUUAGUAUAUUUAGGUGGUUAAGUGUAGAAUUGCUUGAUUUCCCUUCUGGUUUAGUAGAUCUUAAUGCUACUUCCUCUCUGAUCAUUUGGAAGUUGAUCUCAGACAUUUCCACACCCACAAGGUGUUUGAUGAAAUGUCUGAACAAACUUUUCCAGAGAUUUGCAUACUCUAGCCCAAGAGAUUGGAUGUUUAGAAUGCUUAUUGACUUUAUUAGAUUGAAUCAUAAUGCCUGCUAGGUUAUAUUUCUUCAAUGAGAAUUGAGUAUGAAAGUGAUUUAGCUUGAGAAUCUCUGUCACGAGAGUGGAUUGAUUUGUAUUUGAAUCUAUUGUCUAGGGAUAGCUUGAUUGAGUUUGUUAACCACCUAGAUAGACUAAGGAGACUGCUAUAAUUGAUUACCCCAUUCCUCAGGACCCUUUAUCUCUAUUGAUUGGUUAAAUCUUGUUUCUGUUAGUUUCUGUUGCUUAGCUCGACCUGUUAGGCCUAGAUCGUUUAUCUGCAUUGUUAGGUUGUUAGUUUCUUUUCCAAAGCUUAUGCAUGAUAGUUUCUGGUCUUUAGUUUACUUCUUGCUCUUGUUUACUUGCUGUUUAGUUCUCUUUCUUAUGCUUUUAAAUUUGGUAUUCGCAUGUUAAAUUGGUUGCUUAGGAUCAAUAGAAACACACAAAACCCCUUCAUAAUUGGCUUGACUUAUUUGCUUUCUGUUUCAUAUCUUGAAUGCUUGCAGUCACACUGAGAUUGGAUUGAUAACCUAAUAUACUACAAUGGCAUGAAAGUAUAUUAGGGUAAUUGAUAGUAAAAUCCUAGUAUCAAUUUGGCGUCGUUUCCAGUCUUGUGUUGCAUUGUUCCAUUUAAGAUUUCAGGAACGUUUAAGAUCAAGUUCUUUCUUUUCUUUGGUUACUAACUACUCUCUUCAGCUGCUUGUUUUUUUGCUCCAGGUACCAUCUCUACCUCACGUCGAGCCUGCCACGUCGAGACUAACCACUUUGUAUGCAAACUCGUUCUAAAUUCUCCAGCAACCUCAUCAGCUACAAAGACAACAUCAACCAGUUAGCCCGUGAGUUGAAAGAACGUAGAGCCAGAGACGGUUGUGAACUGCACAAUCCAGUAGCCAUGGAACCACAAGAACAAGACAAUCAAGGCGUUGGGAUACCAAGGAACAUUGGUGCUGGGGAUGCACCAAGAAACCAUCAACAGAGACAGGACAUAGUUCCACCUCCUGUCCAGAACAACAAUUUCGAGAUCAAGAGUGGAUUGAUCUCAAUGAUACAAGGAAACAAGUUUCAUGGGUUGCCUAUGGAGGAUCCCUUAGACCACUUGGAUAACUUUGACAGGCUCUGCAGCCUCACCAAGAUAAAUGGUGUUAGUGAAGACGGUUUUAAGCUGCGUUUGUUUCUCUUCUUGCUGGGAGACAAAGCACACCAAUGGGAGAAGACACUACCUCCUGACUCCAUAACAUCUUGGGACGAUUGUAAGACAGCCUUCUUGACAAAAUUCUUCUCAAAUUCAAGAACUGCAAGGCUAAGGAAUGAAAUCUCCAGUUUCACCCAGAAACAGUCUGAAUCCUUUUGUGAGGCCUGGGAGAGAUUAAAAGGCUACACUACACAGUGUCCACAUCACGGUUUCAAGAAAGCUUCUUUGCUCAGUACACUCUACAGAGGAGCUCUGCCCAAGUUCAGAAUGGUCCUGGACAAUGCUUCAAAUGGGAAUUUCUUGAAUAAGGAUGUUGAAGAAGGUUGGGAAUUGGUUGAGAACUUAGCUCAGUCCGACAGUCAUUAUAAUGAAGAUUUUGAUCGCUCCAACAGAGGUAUUGGAGAUUCGGAUGCGAAGCAUAGUAAAGAUAUCAAUGCUCUCAACGAUAAGUUGGAUAAGAUUCUGCUGACUCAACAGAAGCAAGUCCACUAUAUCACUGAAGAAGAGCACUAUCAACUCCAAGAAGGGGAGACUACUCCCGCUGUAGAAGUCAGCUACAUACAGAACCAAGCUGGUUACAACAAGGGCUACCACCCCUACCAGCAUGCUCAUCCUAAUCUAUCUUACCGGAGCACGAAUGUUGCAAACCCUCAGGAUCAGGUUUACCCUCAACAACAACAGAAUCAGUCCAAGCCUUUCAUACCAUACAACCAAGGGUUUGCACCCAAGCAACAGUUCAGUGGAGGUUUUCACCAACAGAAUCCACCACCCGGUUAUACACAGCAAAUACAGCACGCUCCACCUGCACAAGAUCAAGAGAUGAAACAAAUGCUUCAGCAGCUUCUACAAGGUCAAGCAGCUGGUGCAAUAGCUCUUGAUAAGAAAAUGGCUGAGAUUCACAACAAAGUAGACUGCUCCUUCAAUGAUCUCAAUAUCAAGUUUGAGGCUCUAAACUCCAGGUUGAAAUACGUGGAGAGCCAAAUUGCUUCUACUUCUGCGUCUACGAAUCCAGGGCAACUGUCAGGGGAAGCUAUUCAGAAUCAGAAAGGUCAUGUUAAUGCUAUUCACCUUCGCAGUGGUCGAGAGCUGCAAACUCGACCUAGCAUAGCUCCUGUCACUGAGGACAGUGAGAUUCAAGAGGGGGAGGAUUUCAUUCAGCAUGAAACUCAAGUAGAAGACACCACUAAGCUAGACCAAGAGACUGUACCUAGUGAUCAAGUCCAGAGCCCCCAGAUCAAAGAACCAAUUGUUGAUAAGAGUAAGAAGAAAGCUUUCAUCCCACCACCCUACAAACCUAAAAUACCAUUUCCUGGAAGGUUCAAGCAGGACAUAAUUGAGAAGUACAGAGCAAUGUUUGCUAAGCACAUCAAAGAGAUAGAAGCCAGGAUGCCUCUCAUUGAGGCUUUCAUGCUAAUUCCGGAUUCUCACAAGUUCUUCAAAGACAUGGUAAUGGAGAGAAUUAAGGAAGUGCAAGAGAUGGAGAGUCAUGAGUGCAGUGAAAUCAUCCAAACGAAGAUUAUUCCCAAGAAAUUGGGAGAUCCUGGUUCGUUUACUUUACCUUGCUCUCUAGGCACUUUGGCCUUCAGUAACUGCCUCUGCGAUCUAGGUGCUUUUAAAAGUCUCAUGCCUCUCUCCGUGGCCAAGAGACUGGGUUUCAGCAAGUAUAAACCUUGCAACAUCUCCUUGAUCCUGGCUGAUGAGUCUAUCAGAUUUCCUCAUGGGUUAUUAGAAGAUUUGCCUCUUAAGAUUGGAAAUGGUGAAAUUCCUACAGACUUCAUAGUGCUAGAAAUGGAUGAACCAAAAGAUCCUUUAAUCCUAGGAAGGCCCUUCUUAGCCACUGCUGGAGCUUUCAUUGAUGUUAAGAAUGGGAAGAUUGAUCUUAAUCUGGGAAAUGAUUUCAAAAUGAAGUUUGACAUCAAUGAUGCCACGAGGAAGCCAACAAUUGAAGGACAGACCUUCGUAGUUAAGGUAAUGGAUUGCCUAGCUGAUGAACAGCUAGAGGAGGUUGCUGAGGAAGAUCACCAAAAAACUUCUUUGACUAAGAGCGGUGAAGCAGGAUAUCUUCUCACUGAAACCUUGAGCUGUGGUAAGUCACUAGAUUCACACAAGGAAGUAGCAGGGUCAGAGGUCUUUAAAGGCUUGAUUGGGUCAAAAACAGAGGUUAAGGUGGCAUAUGAAGCAAGCUCAACACAUGCUCAACCAACUGACUCGAGUAUACAUUUGAGCAAGCCUACAACUCGUCCGGAGAACUCUAGCUCGACCAAACAUCGUGAUAAGUUGCUAGAGUCUAGCAAUUCUGCUCCAGAUGGCUGGUUAGAACUCAAGGAGAGGUCCAAAUGGCAGGAUAAAGCCAUAAGGGAGCUAGCAGGCACUGUGAGAGAGCUGAAGGAUCAAAUCAAGAAGCUCCAUGGGAUAGCCAACCAAGUACCACUCCAAAUCAAGGACAUCCCAAAUGAUGAAGCGUCUACUCUGGUCAGCGCAAAGGGGAGUGAAUUCACUUCAGAAUGGUCUAUAGCAGAAGACUAUCCAGUUGAUCAACAAGAAGCUUACUAUGAGAAAAGGGCCAUUGAGUACUCAACUGCAGAUUUGUCAAGAGAGCAUGCUAAGUUUGAUGAUUCAUCCACCUGCAGGACAGAGGAGAUCUCAUUUGAUCUCUACAAUCCACCCUAAGCUCAUUCAGUGUGAGAAGUCAAGCUAAAGACUUUAAACAAGCUCACUUGGGAGGAAGUCCCAUGUCUAUCCUUGUAAAUAUUAGUUAUUUCCUUGUUAUUUUUGAUGUUUUUGCUUAAGUGUCUCAGGAUAAAGCGUUUUAAGGAAGCCAAGGUGCAAAACAGAAUGAGUGGCCUUGACUCGACCUGCCCUCCUCGACGUGAAGUCGAGCUUGCCCCUUGGUGUCACUCCAAACCAAAACCGAAGCCCUACUCGACGUACUAGCUCGACCCAACGUCGAGACCACUCAUUGCCCACCAAUACCAGGUUAAUCACCUCCUUCUUCACCCAUCCAUGAGGUAACAACUCCAAUUCACCAUUGUAUACACCACAUUUCAUUUUGUUUCUCUGUUGGUUUGCCCUGAGUACUCUCUUCCAAAUUCUUGUUACACAGAGGACUGUGUAAUUUAAGUUUGGGGGAGGGCUCAGGGAGUAUUUGACAUUGUGUUUUGUUUUCUUAUUUCAAAUUUUGCAUCAUUGCAUCUAAGGCAUAGAAACCAUAAAAAUUUGAAAUUUUUCGAAAAUGAUUUCACAAAAACAGAGUGUUCAUAUAGCUUGCAUUGUCAUUUUAGGAUUGUUUUAGUAUGCUUUCACUUAGGGCUGUUGCAUCAUGCUUUUGCAUUGGAGAUUAUGAUGAUUAUAACCUUGUAAAUAUGCUUAUUCACUAAGUAGAACUCAGUGCCCUGGUUGUUAGUUCUCUAAUGCAUAAUCGAUUGAACUUGAAGUAAGACCGCACCAUCUUUUGAAUUCAACGUUUGAUUUUCUUGUUCUUAGUCGAAACUCGCUUUGAUCUGAUGCCAUUCCCUAUCAAUUUGAACUUGAAUUUUGACUUAUAAUUAUCAUGCUGUGCAUUGUGCUAUGAACUCAUGGAUACUUUAAAAUACUUGGACUUUCUUUUACCUUUUGAUCACUCUUGCUAGUCCAAGUAGCUGACUCCCAUCUUUGGAGCAGUUAUACCCCACCCUUAGCCUUAACCUUCUUUCAAGCCAUUUAUCAUUUGUGUGUGACUGUGAGGCCUUAUUUCGAUUGAGCUUGGUAGAAAGUGUUAGGUCUGUAACGACAAGGAUAGUAUCUCAUGUAGUUCUGGUUCACGUUAUCUGGACUAGAUAGGACUAGGUGGGUGCUUAAUUCUGGGUUUGGGUUGUGUUUAAAAGAAAGAAAAGGUUGUGUUCAUCAUUGAAAGAAAAGAAAAGGGAAAAGAGUCCUAAGGAGAAGUAGCUAAAGUAAGAGAAGUCUAGUAAAGGAUUUGGGUGUGCUAAAGUAAAGGAAAAAGGGUUCUGUAAAUAGCUUAAAGAGAAUGGGCAAAAGCCUUGUGUUUAUGAGAGGAAAGAAAAGGGAACCCUAGUUGUUAAAGAAUCCUAAUCCGCUAGACAGAGCAAAGUAAGAAAGCUUCUCCUAGGAUAGAAAAGCAAAGAAAAGAAAGGAAUGAUGUGAGUAAAAGUCUGUAAAUGUUUGGAGUGCAAAAGGGUAGAGUUAAGUUCAUGUUCUGGGAUUAGAAAUAGGACCUCCAUUUGAGUUGAUAUUGAUUACAUUCUGGGUAGAUGGGGUCUUAUCCUUGUAUGCAUAACUUGAUACUCACCUUUAGCAUUCUACUAAAGCUCAAUCAUUCUUGAGAGAUCCCCUGUGACGAUUUAAACCAGAUCUUUAAGGGACCUUCUUUGUCUCUAGACCUUUACCCUUAAGCCAAAUGUGUUCAUAUCCAUUGCAUUGUAUGAUUCACGGUUCCUUCUUAAUCAAUGUUAAAGGGAAUGUGCUGAUUUGAAUGCUUGAAUUGAUUAAGGCAGAGGUUAGGUUGAGAUGUGAAGGAGAUGGCUAAUGUUUUUAAGUAAAGAUCAGUCAACCUUGCAUUCUAGAAUUAGCAACCUGGACAUUGAAUUCACUUACUCUAUAUGCAUGUUUUGGUUCUGAGUCUCCACUUUCAAACUUCUUCUCCAGCUUAGUUCUAUUUGUUUGCUUGAGGGCAAGCAAGAGCUAAGUUUGGGGGAGUUGAUGUCUCUGUAUUUUACCGCUUUUAAGCACACUUUUCUCGUGCAUUUAGCUAAGUUUCAUCUCUCUUUCAUUGCAUCCAUAGUCCUUUUCAUAUCAUUUUCAUCACUUAGUACGAUUUGCAUUGCAUGGCAUAGCAUAUUGCAUAUUGGAUGUGUUUCAGGUAUUUGGAGCUUAUUUGGGACUUAAUGGAUGCAAAGAAGAGAAUUGAUGAUUUAGAGCCAGUCUGAAGUCCCUCAAAGAUCGACUCAGAUGGAAGUCUUUCAUUGCGAUUUAGCUUCGGAGCUCUUCAUACAAGUUAUAGGAAAUUGAGUUACCUUUCCAACGGAGGUGAUUUCAAGCGAAUCAGAGCUUUGAUGCAAGAAUUAUGGUGGUUUUAAUGGAGACAUAUGCAGAAAACUGGUUGGACUCGACAGGAGGUCGAGCAGGCGCUCAGAAACCACCAAGGGUUGGACUCGACCACACCAAGUCGACGUGAGGUCGAGUAGGAGGCCAUCAAGGAGCACCCUUUGAAGAAUCACUCCCCCUCGACCACAUGGACUCGACGGCACGUCGAGUAGGACGUCAGAAAGCUGUCUGGACACGGACUCGACCACACGGACUCGAUGACACGUCGAGUUGGACCACCCACCGACUUCUUAUUUUGUCUUUUAGCUAAAUUAGGGCAACCUAGUAUUCCUAUAAAUAGGGGUACACGCUAUUAUCCAGAGGAUAUUCCUUUUACCCAGCAUGUUCUUCAGUGUUCUUGAGUAGUGGAUUAGGGUUCUUGAGGAUGGGAUAGAUUAGGUGUGGAAUCCUUAGUAUAUUUAGGUGGUUAAGUGUAGAAUUGCUUGAUUUCCCUUCUGGUUUAGUAGAUCUUAAUGCUACUUCCUCUCUGAUCAUUUGGAAGUUGAUCUCAGACAUUUCCACACCCACAAGGUGUUUGAUGAAAUGUCUGAACAAACUUUUCCAGAGAUUUGCAUACUCUAGCCCAAGAGAUUGGAUGUUUAGAAUGCUUAUUGACUUUAUUAGAUUGAAUCAUAAUGCCUUCUAGGUUAUAUUUCUUCAAUGAGAAUUGAGUAUGAAAGUGAUUUAGCUUGAGAAUCUCUGUCACGAGAGUGGAUUGAUUUGUAUUUGAAUCUAUUGUCUAGGGAUAGCUUGAUUGAGUUUGUUAACCACCUAGAUAGACUAAGGAGACUGCUAUAAUCGAUUACCCCAUUCCUCAGGACCCUUUAUCUCUAUUGAUUGGUUAAAUCUUGUUUCUGUUAGUUUCUGUUGCUUAGCUCGACCUGUUAGGCCUAGAUCGUUUAUCUGCAUUGUUAGGUUGUUAGUUUCUUUUCCAAAGCUUAUGCAUGAUAGUUUCUGGUCUUUAGUUUACUUCUUGCUCUGCUUUACUUGCUGUUUUGUUCUCUUUCUUAUGCUUUUAAAUUCGGUAUUCGCAUGUUAAAUUGGUUGCUUAGGAUCAAUAGAAACACACAAAACCCCUUCAUAAUUGGCUUGACUUAUUUGCUUUCUGUUUCAUAUCUUGAAUGCUUGCAGUCACACUGAGAUUGGAUUGAUAACCUAAUAUACUACAAUGGCAUGAAAGUAUAUUAUGGUAAUUGAUAGUAUCAGCUGUCAACUCAGCAAUCUGCUUUGAUUCUCCUCCUCCACCUCUGUACGACCUGUCAUAGUCAACAUUGUGGUUACUGUUACUGGCUGCCAGAUUCUCAAUAAGCUCUAUAGCUUCCUCCUCAGUCUUGGUCAUAAAAUCCCCAUUACUAGCAGUAUCUAGUCCUUGUCGACUCCUCUAUAGAAAGUAUUGAUCAAAGUGGCACGUGGAAAGCCGUGGUGGGGGCAUUCCCUGUAGGAAUCUUUGAACCGUUCCCAAGCUUCAUGGAAUGAUUUUGUACCAUGCUGCUGAAAAGAAGAGAUCUUUUUCCUCAGAAUGGCUGUCCUGGACUGAGUAAAAUACUGUGACAGAAAUGCAGCCUUGUAGUCUUCCCAGCUUCUUAAAUUCUCAGUGUUCAAAGACUUCAACCAGCGAUGGGCUUUGUCAGCUAAAGAGAAUGUGAAAAGUCUGCAUUUGAUGAUAUCAUCAGGUACUUCAUUCAUUCUUGUUGUACUGCAUAUAUCCUCGAAGUUAUCUAAAUGGUAGACUGGAUUCUCUGAGAUGAGACCAUGGAACUGAUUCUGCUUCACCAAAGAUAGCAACCCUGUUUUGAUCUCAAAAUUAUUCCUAUUGAUUGGCAGCUGUUGGUUCCUGUCUCGAAAAUGCACAACAUUAGGAGCAUCAUGAUCUCUCAAAGUCUGUCGAGCAGGCGCGGGCCUAGCAUUUACUGCAGCUAAACGAGCGGCAUUAGCAGCAGCCACACGUUCAGCAGCUGCACGGGCAGCGGCAGCUUGUUCACCAGCAGCAGGAGCAUUGUUGUUUGCAGGAGGUGGGGGAUCCUGAAACACUCCUUGAUGAUCACCUCCAAGUGGGAGUUCAUCUCUAUUCUGAAGAUUUCCUGCAGCAUCGUAUUCAGCCAUUUCAGCUUCUCUCUGCUCGGCUUCUUCUUUUUCUUAUUCGCUCUUUCAAACUUUCCGAUAUCCUCUUGGUAAUCCGCUAGAUGUGACGAGCCUUGGCUGCGGGUCAUACACCUGAAAACACCAAAGAGAAAACGAAAACGAAAAUCAGUAACAGAAAAUAAAAAUGCUUUAGACUAAAAACUAAUCCUAAAUCCUUAGGUAACGCAAUUGGUCCCCGGCAACGGUGUCAACUUGAUUGCUCGAGUAAUUACCCGAUACACUUAACCGCAAAGUAGUAUAUACGGGGUCGAUCCACAAGAACCAAUGGUACACUAAAGACUUCCGAGACUCGUUCUUAGCUAAAGCGAAGAAUUGUUUUGUUUGGGUUUUCAGAAUUAUAAAUAAAAAUGCAAGUAAUUUAAACGAUUAAACUUAUGAAUUAAAGACAUUGGGCAUUAGGGUAUUUCAGAGAUCAACGAAUAAUGGAAACAUGAGACAAGGAAUUCAAUGAUUAAGCACUGUUCUUGAACAUGAACACAUUUAGACUAAUUCUCUUUCAAGACAUUAAUCACUAAAUUUGACUACUCGAUUACUAAACUUUCGCAUGUAAUUUCCUAGUCAAAUUCGCAUUAUCAAACAAGUUUUUUAAGUUCACAAUGCGUCCUAACGUCAACUUUCAUUGGCUAGGAAUACAUUGCUCAAUUCACAUUCUUUCAAGAAUUCUAUCGAACACUUUUGAUGCAUACAAAAACCUAGAAUCUACAACAGGGUGAUCAAUCCUAUUCUAGCAUUAAUAACAUGUGAAUCAAAGAACCUAGAGAAUGAGAAUUCCUAACACAAUCAAUCCAUUAAUCCAUUGAAUCUCCUAAUUGGAACCAUAAAACCCAAUUGGGGAACUACUCACACAUAGAGAAAGAGAAAAGGCAAAUAGAUAUGAAAGAAAACAUGAUUCAAUAAAAUAAAAAAGGAAUAGGGUUUAGAAAUCUUCUCCAAGUGUCAAGAGGAUGGAUUCCUUUGCCCAAAGUUGUUUACAAACCAAAGAACAAAGUUUAGAACUCAAAAAUAUCAAAGAUAAUGUGUAAAGAGUCGAGCAUAGGGUUUUAAAACAAUAGGAAACGAGCCGGGUCGGAUCUGGAGUGAAUCGGGUCAAUUCUGGGCUAAAAGUACGUCUGGGGAAGGGAUCGAUCGAUCCGGUGGGUGGAUCGAUCGAUUUCGAGUCACUGGAAACUGCUUCUCGUCCGUCAGAGGAUGGGAUCGAUCGAUCCACUUGUGGAUCGAUCGAUCAGGAUCUUCUGGUCUCCAACUCCGCAACUGCUUCAAAUGCUCGGCAGAAUGACCUGUCUUCACUACUUCGGGUAUAACUCUUGAAUGCACCAUUAGAUUUCCUUCAAACCACUUGUAAACUCAAGCUAACAUCGUCAUCUAACUUGUGUCAAAAAUGCAGAAAGAUCUAAACAAAACUGCAUCUCCAAAAGUGUGUUUAUAUCCCGAAACAGCUCGUUUUCCUCCGAAGCAACCUAAAACCUGUAUAGACUCGAUAAACGACUAAAAGACUCUAAAAACACACUUUGACUCGAUAAAACAUAUGAUGUAAGAAAGAAAACAAAGACUCAAAACCGAUAAAAACACAACAUAUCAGGAGGACUUUGCAAACCCUCCAGGUAAAAUCGAUGGUUUCCACCAAAAUUAAAUAUUUCUUCCUAAAGAAAUUUUAAUUAAACCACCUUGGGAGAUUUAUUCAAAAUAAUAAUAAAAGCCCCAUUGGGCAAAGAAAAACUCAAAAGUAAUAAAACGGCCCCAUGGCCAACAAGGCAAAUUUCAUGUCUUAAAAAUUAAAGGGACAAUCCCCCACAUAAGGUGAAUACAAUCACCAUCAUUCAUUCAUAGGCGAACCGCCUUCUUCUCUUGCUUGACUUGAGACAAGAGCACCCCCGACGUCAUUGUCUUGAGUCGCGAGAACCACUUCAGGAUUAAGCGAGCUAACGUCUUGAGGAGUUUCGUUCCUCGAUUCAACAUCAUUUCCCAUAAUCGAGGAGGUGACAAGUCCCUGAUCAGAGGGCCCCUGAGCUCGUCCCAAGGAGAUCUAUCAACAUUGGUUCCGAACUCAUUUAAAUGAGCGCUAGGAGAACCGGUUAACAUCAUCUCGUCCAGAGACGAACCAAUAUUUGGUUCAGUCAGCGGAGGGGAAUCAGCGAACUCAGAAGGAAACUGCUGCAAAUUCAAAUAUGGCUAAGGAGCGGUAUUUAGCUUAGCUUCAGUCUCAGCUAGCUCGGCACCAACCGUCUCUUUCUCUUCAGCCAAAUCGACUUUUCCGUCUUCUAUCUCUUUGAUCAAAUCGAGAUUGCUUUUCAUUUCAUCGCGUUCGGAGUUAAGCUUGUUCCAAGCUUUGUCUGCAGCGAUAAAUUCCUGCACAGCGAGAAGAAACUUUUGCCCAGCUCCCUUAACCUCCUUCCGAGCAUCAUGAGAUAUUUUGCCAACAUCAAGAUCUUUCAGUUUGGAAAGAGACUCAUUCUUGCAUUCUAGCUCCUCAGCAGCUGCUUUAACCUUGUUAAGCUCCGAUCUGAGAAGCUCAAUCUCGCCUUUAGCGAAGUUAUGAUCAGCAAGGGCAGUCUCUAGCUUUUGCUCUGUCUCAAUCAAGGUCUUCCUUGUCUCCUCGCCGGAUCUUUCGAGUCUCUUGAUUUCCUCCCGGCGAACCGAGUCGAGGCCAGCAGUCUCCUGCACAAGCCGGUGGCAAGUUUCUUGGAAACUUUGGCAAGUUCCUCUUCAUAAAAGUUGACGAUGCCAUUCACAUCCAUAGUUGCCUAAUAAAAGAAGAUUCAUUUUUAAAAAAAAAUGAAUGAAUCAAAAUCAGUUGUCGAAGGAUGCAAGUAGUCAAACCUGGGAAGAAUGGAAUGAGUAACUGAUGUACAUCUUCUUAAUAUCAGGUUUCCACCAAUCAAAGGAUAGAAGCUUCUUCCCAACACGGGUGUGGAAGCACCGAAACAUAUUCCCGAUCUUCUCUUUGUCUGGAAUAAAGUUAGUUGUGUGAGAAUUGAGUUUUCUUCGAAGAGAGAAUCUAUUUAUCUCAAACAACAAAAUAAUAAUUAAAGGUUACCUGCUUGGGAAGAAGCUCUGGCAACCUGUCCUGAACUCGGAGAUGAUCAAACCCUAGAAGUAUUGCCUCGGGGGCGUCUAGGGGGUAGCAUCUCUGAACCCUAGAUGUAUUGCCUCGGUUCCUUCAAAACAGUUCCUGAAUCAGGAUUUGCAUCCUGAGCUUCAGUAGGUUCAGGAAUUGGCAGAUUCGAAGGAGCGGCUCUGCCCUUCCUUGUGCUCUUGGAACGUCUCUGGGCAGGGGUUCAAAUUCUUCGGCCUUCCUCUUCUUCAUGAGAGAAGAAUCACUUGCAAAGCCUUCCUCCUCAACGGUGGCAGCAACCACGUUGUCUGCUGCUGGGAUGAAGGGAGAAGCAUUGUUCACAGCAACCGCCAUUUACUUUGAACCUUCAAGAGAUCCAUCGUCAACCAGGAGAGUUUUUCGGUAGACUUUAUCGUUUCCGGUGGAAGUUGCAUUUUUCUUGUCUCUCCCGACUAGAGAAAUCUGAUCUUUGAUCUUUUUGUUUGCUUCUUUGAUUUUUCUCCUAUCUCGAGCAUUCAGACUCGAGAGGUCAAUCCCAGCAGGAGGAGGGUCGACGAGGUAAGUAAGGCCCAUUCUAACAGAAAAUCCGGCACCGUGAAUCCUUUCCAAAGUAAAGGAAUUCCAAUUAACUGGACUCUCCAAGACGGCCUUGUCGAAAUUGAGAAAAUCGAUAGAUGGGACCGGUCGAAUUUGGGGACCUGCGAGAAAACAAGGAAAUGUUAAAACGCAGUUUGAAAUAACAUGGGAAAUCUAUGCAGUUAAGUCCUAGUUUCUACCCAAAUUCGAUGACCAAUACACUCGAAGGAGUUCAGAAGAAUUCAGAAUAGAAAAAUUAUUUAUGCGGAAGAAGAACCAAAACUUCCUCUAGGCGUUGUCCUUUAAGGGCAGGCCAUCAAUAAGAUUCCGAUCCACGAUCGGAUAAAGGGCAUAAUACCCAGAGGUUCGGGAUUCGCGAGCCUGGAAAAGUUCCAAGAGUUCGCAAAGUCCCAGCAAGUAGCCAGCCUCCGCCGCAACAGUAAAGAUACAUAAAAGAUACCGGAGCAUGUUGGGCGACAUCUGAGAGAAUGCAAUUCCCAGAUGGUUGAGGUAAGCGAGAAGUAUCUCGGGAAGGGGAAAGAAUAAGCCGCACCCUUUGAAAUAAAUUUCAUAGGCGCAGCAGUAACCUUCUCGCCCCGACUCAGAAGACUCAAAGGGCUCCGGAACUAUCAUCUCCACCUCAGCAGGGAUGUGACAUAGUCUACGGAGGUCAUCGAGGGAUUCAACAGUCGAUUCACUCUGAGGGUGAAGAUCAAACUUGUCUCCGGUAUGGAUUUGAGGUUCGGAUCCUUCACCCAUGAGAGCUUCGAGGUCAUCAACUUCAUACUCACGAAAUUCGGGAGAAAGGUUCGACAUUUUACAAAAAGGAUUUUCAACCGAGAGGAAACAAUGAAUUCUGUGAUAAGAAUGAAAGGUCUCUAAGUGAAGAAGAUAAGAUGGAAAAGUAAUUUUACCUCUUAGAACCCUAAAGUAUGAUGGGAAACCGCCUCGAGAGUAUUAGGAAGUGGGACAGUUUUCCCCGUGGUAUUAAUAUAAAAUUAGGAAAUUAAUAAUGACGGUUGUCAGGGAAAUCAAAUCAUCUGAUUAUCCGAGAUCGGCGUAAUAGCGUAAAACAUGGAGAAAUUCCAGAAUGUUAAAGAUCUCGAGUCAUUAAUUACUCUCCCUCAUAUCGAUCGGCUCGUAGAAUCAACGGCCAGAAACGAACUCUUAACAUUUAUGGAUGCAUUUUCUGGAUAUAAUCAGAUCAUGAUGAAUCCCGAAGAUGAAGAAAAAACAUCUUUCAUAACAGAUAGAGGAAUCUACUGUUAUAAAGUUAUGCCAUUCGGUUUAAAAAACGCCGGGGCAACAUACCAACGUUUAGUUAACAAAAUGUUUGCAAAACAUUUGGGCAAAACGAUGGAAGUUUAUAUCGAUGAUAUGCUCGUAAAAUCUCUUAAGAAAUCCGAGCACAUCACACAUCUUGAGCAGUGUUUCAAAAUUCUUAACGAGUUCGGAAUGAAAUUAAAUCCAGCUAAAUGUUCCUUUGGCGUACCUUCCGGAGAAUUUCUGGGAUACAUAGUCACGGAAAGAGAAAUAGAGGCAAAUCCUAAUCAGAUUAAGGCUUUCCUCACAAUGCCCUCACCAAAAAACAUUAAAGAGGUCUAGCGAUUGACGGGCAGAAUUGCUGCGUUGUUACGUCUCAUCUCGAAAUCCACCGAUAAAUGUCUCCCUUUUUAUCAAAUUUUAAAAGGGCCCAAAAAAUUUCAGUGGGAUGAUCAAUGCGAAGCAGCUUUCGAACAACUUAAAGCUUAUUUGACAACACCACCGGUUCUCUCAAAACCUGAGUCAGAUGAGAAACUUUAUCUUUACAUCUCGGUUUCUAAUCAUUCUGUAAGCGAGGUUCUAGUUCGAGAGGAUCGAGGUGAUCAAAAGCCAAUUUUUUACAUAAGUAAAUCUCUUACUAGUCCAGAAACGAGAUAUACCAUGAUGGAAAAAUUAGCUUUAGCAGUAGUCAUAUCGGCUAGAAAACUCAGAUCUUAUUUCCAGUCUCAUCCGAUAGAGGUUUUAACAUCUCAUCCACUUCGCUCAAUUCUUCAUGGUCCAAGUCAGUCCGGUAGAUUGGCGAAGUGGGCAAUCGAACUCAGUGAGUACGAUAUAGAAUACAAAAGUCGGACUAGCGCAAAGGCACAAGUUCUGGCUGAUUUUCUAACCGAACUACCAUUAGAUGAUGGAAUCUUUGUUGAAACGGACUACACAUGGAAAUUACAUUUAGAUGGCCCUUCUUCUAAACAAGGAUCCGAAAUCGGUAUAAGGCUCGAAACUCCUACAAAGGAAAUAAUUGAACAAUCAUUUCGAUUAAUGUUCCUGGCUUCGAAUAAUGAAGCUGAAUACGAAGCUCUCCUAGCAGGACUUCGGCUUGCAAUUGGAGCAGAAAAAAUAAUAGCUUAUUGUGAUUCCCAGCUAGUUGUGAACCAGUUCGCUGGAGAUUAUGAAGCUAAGGCUCCUCGAAUGGAAGCCUAACUUUUGGCUGUCAAAAAAUUAGCCGGAAAAUUCAAAGAAUACAAAUUAGUUCGAAUACCUAGAGGAGAAAACACUUUGGCAGACGCUUUAGCUGCCGUAGCUUCUAUCUCAGAUCCCGAGCUCAGACGAGUUAUUCCAGUUGAAUGUAUUUCUUCGCGAAGUAUUUCGGUUGAAGAAACAGAAAACGAUAACAUUUUGGAGGCCGAGCACAUCGAAACUCCAAAAUCAAGUUCCGGAAAUGAAAAUAGUUCACUUGUCGUCACCAGAUCGCGAAAUUCUGAAGAUGACGAACUUACUCCACCACUGGAACUUCCCAAAAGAAAGCCAAGAAGAAAAUUAAAAGAUCAAGAGGUUCCCAUUAAAGAACCGUCUCAAACCGAACAAUCACUUCCAGGUGAUGUAGAGGUUCAGGAGACAAUCGAAGAUCCUAAUAUUCCUUCCGAACCCGAACCAAGGAAAUUUAUACUCAAGGAUAAUACUUCCGCUAAUGAUUGGGGGGCUGAGUGGAGGGUACCCAUCAAAAAUUUCAUUCUUAAUGGAGAACUACCAUCGAACAAAUGGCAAGCUCGCAAACUAAGAAUCAUCAGCGCUAAGUAUUGUAUAAUUAAAAAGUCAUUGUACAAGCGAGGCGUCAGUGAUCCUUACCUUUUAUGAAUUUUUGGACCCGAAGUUGAAAUAGUGACAAGCGAGGUCCACGAAGGGCUUUGUGGUAGUCAUUCUUCGGGACGAGCAAUGGCUUUCAAAAUCAAACGGUUAGGAUACUUCUGGCCAACUAUGAUUUCUGACUGCAUCGAUUACGCCAAACGGUGUAAGAAGUGUCAGAUGCACGCUCCUCUUAUUCACCAGCCAUCUGAAAUUCUAUCAUCUAUAUCCGCUCCAUACCCUUUCAUGAGGUGGUCAAUGGAUAUAGUUGGUCCGAUGCAUCGUUUAACACGAGGAGUCCAAUACUUAUUAGUUCUAACGGACUAUUUUUCCAAAUGGAUUGAAGCUGAAGCUUAUAUAAGCAUACAGGAUUCCGUAGUAAAGACAUUCUUGUGGAAACAUAUUAUUUGUCGCUAUGGAGUUCCCUACGAAAUAGUAACGGACAAUGGUCCUCAAUUCAUUUCAAAUGAUUUUGAAGAUUUUUGUUCCGUUUGGGGAAUAAAACUUAGCUACUCAACGCCGAGGUAUCCUCAAGGAAAUGGACAAGCGGAAGCUUCCAACAAAACCAUUCUCAGCAAUCUUAAAAAGCGCUUGAGUGCUCGAAAAGGUGGUUGGUAUGACGAACUGCAACCUGUGGUGUGGGCAUAUCAAACAACCCCGAGACAAGCAACGGGUGAAACUCCAUUCUCAUCAGUUUAUGGGAUGGAAGCUGUAGUCCCAGCCGAGCUAAAUGUUCCUGGUUUGCGCCGGAGCAAAGCUCCACUUAACGAGAAAUCGAAUUCUAAAUUAUUAGAAGAUGUUCUCGAUACAAUCGAUGAAAGGCGAGACCAAUCCUUUAUUCGACUUCAGAAUUAUCAACAGUUGACCGCUCGCUACUAUAACUCAAAGUUGAAAAACAGACUUUUAAACGUAGGCGACUUUGUUUUAAGGCGAGUGUUCGAUAACACAAAAGAAGAAGGAGCUGGAAAACUCGGUAUUAACUGGGAAGGCCUGAUAUGACUAUGGACGAACAAGACUCGGAGCAGCUCGUAGCCGAGGAGCAACAUGUAGCCGAGGAAGCUUUGGCCGACCCAACAGGCCCGAUGACUCGUUCGAAGACAAGACUUCUCAACCAAGCCGUUAGCGGACUCCUUAGACACUUGAAUCAGCCUACAAGCAAAGUUAUCCAAACCACUUUGGUUUCGAUUACAGCCCAAGACAAUUGGUAAUGGGCUAAGUGUUACUUGGGUACUCUUUUUCCCUUCUAAGGUUUUGUCCCAAUGGGUUUUCCUUAGUAGGUUUUUAAUGAGGCUUAAGUAACACUUCCAAAAACCCCAUUAUCAAUUCGGCCCAGCCCAUCCUAAAGAUGAAGAAGAUUUUCGCAAAUUUGAAGGCCAAGGGUCAUUUGUUGUGUUCAAUUUUCGUUUUAAUGCUUUGUUAUUUCCGAGUUGUCUUGGAGCUUGUUCCAAGACUAGCUCUUCCUCUUCUCCCUUCUCUACUUAAGUCACUUGUACUUCUUCUUUGAGUUUCAUCUAAUCUUUUAUCAAAAACUCUUUCAAGUUAGAUCAAUUUUCUUGUUCUUCUCUUUGGUGCGUAAUAUCCAACGACGAGAUCAAGAUCGGUAAAUCAAAGGCCUUCCGCAACCUUUGUGCGACCAUUCAAUCCACUUCCUUUGCACCGAGUGAUCUUCACAUCAUUUUGAUGCAAAGCCUAUCUCUUACUCAACCUCAAGAGUGCCGAUCUUAGGAUAAUUCUAUCAAGUGGUAUCAGAGCUCGCUCUGAAGUUUAGUACUCUAUCCAUUCUCAUCUUUCAUCAUAUUCAUCAUCUCGUUCCAUUCAUUUCGCCCGUUCAUCGUUUCGCUUCAUUUUGUCCGUUCAUCUUCUUGUUUGACUAUUCAUCUUCGCUGUCAUCUUGUUUUAAUUUUCAUAAAUAAUUGACUUGUGAUUAAAUUGCGAAACCAAUUGAAUCUGAAUCUAGGACGAGUCUAGUAUUUUAUAAAAGUGUUUCUGGAAUUUUAAAGCAUGAUUUGCUAUUUUAUUUUGUCCGUUCAAAUUCACCUGUUUUAGGACGAUCGUUGAUAUUUUUCUUUGAACUAGUGACUGGUUUAGCUUUGUUGUGUUGGCAGGAAUGGUGACAUCCGAUUCAAGCUCGGGAGUUAGUGCUAAUAACAAGGUCCUCAUCGAAGCUCUCACGAUACAAAUGGAGAAAAUGAUGGAUGCCAAGCUUAAACCAAUUACCGAUCAACUUAAGGGGAAGGAGAAAGCACCGGGUGAACAAGUCAUCAUCUCGGAUGGAGCCCGAUCUCGAAAGGAGGCGAACCACCAAACCAAGGACCCGAGGAAGGAAACGGCUGAUAAAAAUGCCCAAGAAUACUACAGCAGCCACGGUCGCUCUUCUCACCGGAGCAGCCGGAGAACAAGACGUAACGGAGGAGAGAGAGAUUUGAUGGUCGAAAAUCUUGGACGCUAUAAGAUGAAGGUACCGCCGUUCCAUGGAAAGAAUGAUCCGGGCGCCUACUUAGAUUGGGAGAAGAAGAUGGAGCUUGUAUUUAAUUGUCACAAUUUUGCCAACGUCAACCGUGUGAAAGUAGCCGCUACCGAGUUCUACGAUUAUGCACUUAGUUGGUGGGAUCAAAUUGUCACUACGAUACAGCGUAAUGGAGAAUAUCCGAUUGAGACAUGGGAAGGACUAAAGCUUCUCAUGAGGCGUAGGUUUGUGCCUAGCCAUUAUCACUGUGAUCACUACUCCAAACUCCGGAAGCUAACUCAAGGCGCGCGGUCCGUGGAAGACUAUUACCAAGAGAUGGAAACUUUGAUGUUGCGUGCGCAUAUAAUGGAGGAUAGUGAGGCAACAAUGUCAAGGUUCUUGGGAGGAUUGUACCGUGAAAUUCAGGAUCGUGUCGAGAUGCAACACUACGAGGAGUUGGAAGGGAUGCUACAUAAGGCUAUCCUUGUGGAGCAACAACUUAAGAGAAAGGGUUCCUCACGGCCAAGUUAAGAUUCGAACCGACCUAACUAUCCAAGAGAAAGCAAACCAGCCUUCGUUCCUAAAGCCGAGCCCAAAUCAUCCCCGACCACCCAAGACCAAGACAAGACCAAGCCCGAAGGCACCGCCACUACUAGAUCCCGUGAUCUCCGAUGCUUCAAGUGUCAUGGACGUGGGCACUAUGCUAACGAGUGUACGAAUAAGAGAGUGAUGAUCAUAAGGGAAAAUGGUGAGUUGGAAUCCGAGGACGAGCCCAUGCCACAACCCGAAUCGUCGUCCGAAGAGUGUAUUGCCAAGCCGGCGAAUGGGAAGCUCUUAGUGUUGAGAAAGGUUUCGAAGGAUCCGGAAAAGGAGCAAGACAUGAACUCAUCCCCGGAUGAGUAUAGGAAACGGUCCGGAGAACUUUACGUAGCGAGACGAACGUUAAGCAUCCAAACCCGAACCGAGGAAGAAGAGCAAAGAGAGAACCUAUUUCAUACGCGAUGUCUUGUCCAUGAGAAAGUUUGUAGUUUGAUCAUCGAUGGAGGAAGUUUUACGAAUGUAGCGAGUGAGACAAUGGUCCGAAAGCUUGGGUUGAAGCCGCAAAAGCAUCCUAAGCCGUAUCAACUACAAUGGCUUAAUGACGAUGGAGAAAUGAGUGUUGAGAAUCAAGUGGUUGUUCCAUUAGCGAUCGGAAGUUACGAGGACCGAAUUCUUUGUGACGUACUACCAAUGGACGCCGGACAUAUCCUUUUAGGCCGACCAUGGCAAUCGGAUCGGAGAGUGAUCCAUGACGGUUUUACUAACCGAUACUCGUUCAUGUUCAAAGGCAAGAAGACUACCCUUAUUCCAUUAACGCCACAAGAGGUAUGUGAGGAUCAAAUCCAACUCUCGGCCAAGGAAACCAAAGUUCGUAAACAGCCUAAUUUCUUUAUUAAGGCUAACAAGGUUAAGCAAGCUAUGUUCUCUAAAUGACCUAUUUUGUUAUUGGUUUACAAAGAAGCACUAACGACUUUGGCUAACUUUGCACCGGCCAAUCUGAGUGAGUUAACUUCUCUUUUGCAGAAUUACAAGGAUGUGUUUCCCGAAGAUAGCCCCAAUAGUUUACCACCUAUCCGGGGAAUUGAACACCAAAUUGACUUUGUCCCGGGAGCAACACUACCAAACCGUCCAGCCUACCGAACCAAUCCGAUGGAGACCAAGGAAUUACAACGACAAGUCGACGAGCUCAUGACUAAAGGGCAUAUCCGCGAGAGUAUGAGUCCGUGCGCCGUUCCGGUCCUACUUGUGCCAAAGAAAGACGGGAGUUGGCGUAUGUGCGUCGAUUGCCGGGCAAUCAACAAUAUAACGGUGAAGUAUCGCCACCCUAUUCCUAGACUUGAUGAUAUGCUUGAUGAGUUGCAUGGUUCAUGCAUUUUCUCUAAAAUUGAUUUGAAAAGUGGCUAUCAUCAAAUUAGAAUGAAAGAAGGAGACGAAUGGAAAACUGCAUUUAAAACGAAACAUGGGUUGUACGAAUGGUUAGUUAUGCCAUUCGGUUUGACAAAUGCACCUAGUACAUUCAUGCGCUUAAUGAACCAUGUCCUUAGAGCAUUCAUUGGCCAUUUCGUGGUAGUUUACUUUGAUGAUAUUUUGGUUUAUAGCAAGAACAUGGCUGAACAUAUUGAUCAUUUAGAAUCGGUCAUAAAAGUCCUUAGGGAGGAAAAGCUUUUUGCAAAUCUUAAGAAGUGCACCUUUUGCACGGAUAAUCUUGUUUUUCUAGGCUUUGUUGUAAGUGCAGAUGGUGUUAAGGUGGAUUAGGAGAAAAUAAAGGCGAUCAAAGAGUGGCCUAGCCCUAAAACCGUUGGAGAAGUUCGGAGCUUUCACGGCCUUGCCGGUUUCUAUAGACGUUUUGUUAAAGAUUUUAGCACCUUAGCCGCACCACUUACCGAAGUAAUCAAAAAGGAUGUUGGGUUCAAAUGGGAAGAAGCUCAAGAGAAAGCCUUUCAAGCCCUUAAAGAGAAGCUUACUAAUGCUCCUAUUUUGAUUUUACCCGAUUUUCUUAAACCUUUUGGAAUCGAAUGUGACGCCUCCGGUAUAGGUAUUGGAGCUGUUUUGAUGCAGGAUAAGAAGCCCAUAGCCUAUUUUAGUGAAAAGCUCGGUGGUGCCACCUUGAACUAUCCGACGUAUGACAAGGAACUUUACGCUUUGGUCCGGGCCUUACAAACGUGGCAACAUUAUUUAUGGCCGAAGGAGUUCGUCAUACACACCGAUCAUGAAUCUCUUAAGCAUCUCAAGGGUCAACAAAAACUCAAUAAAAGACAUGCAAGGUGGGUAGAAUUCAUUGAGACAUUUCCGUAUGUCAUCAAGUAUAAAAAAGGUAAGGAUAAUGUCGUAGCCGACGCAUUAUCCCGAAGGUACACCUUACUCUCAACUCUUGAUGCCAAGCUUUUGGGUUUUGAACAAAUUAAAGAACUCUAUGAUUCUGAUCCGGAUUUUCAAGAAAUUUAUAAAGCUUGUUCUAAGUUGGCUUCGGGCCGCUAUCAUAAGCAAGACGGGUUUCUCUUUUAUGGGAACCGUUUGUGUAUUCCUAAAUGUUCUCUUCGAGAUUUAUUUGUUAGGGAAGCACACGGAGGGGGACUUAUGGGGCACUUUGGAGUUGCCAAAACUCUUGAGAUAAUGAAGGAUCAUUUCCAUUGGCCUCACAUGGUAAGGGACGUUGAACGUAUAUGUGGAAGGUGUGUCACAUGUAAAAAGGCUAAGUCCAAAGUGCAACCAAACGGUUUGUAUACUCCUUUACCCAUUCCUUCUCAUCCUUGGACUGACAUAUCAAUGGAUUUUGUGCUUGGAUUGCCUAGUACUAAAACCAAAAAGGAUUCGAUUUUUGUAGUCGUUGAUAGGUUUUCUAAAAUGGCGCAUUUCAUUGCUUUUCAUAAAACCGAUGAUGCAUCUCAUGUUGCUAGUUUGUUCUUUAAGGAAGUUGUUCGUUUGCAUGGCAUGCCUAGAACCAUUGUUUCGGAUAGGGAUACCAAGUUUCUUAGUUAUUUUUGGAAAACAUUGUGGUCUAAACUUGGAACUAAGCUCUUAUUCUCUACUACUUGUCAUCCGCAAACCGAUGGGCAAACCGAAGUGGUUAAUAGAACCUUAGGCACACUCUUGCGCACCUUGAUUAAAAAGAAUCUUAGGACUUGGGAAGAAUGUUUGCCGCAUAUAGAAUUUGCAUACAAUCAUGCCGUUCAUUCCGCUUCUAAGUUUUCGCCAUUUCAAAUUGUUUAUGGGUUCAAUCCCACCUCUCCUUUGGAUUUGAUGCCUUUGCCUUUGAGUGUAAGAACAAGCCUAGAUGGAAAAAGAAAGGCCGAAAUGGUGCAACAAAUCCAUGAGAGCGCUCGGAAAAAUAUUGAAGAAAAGACGAAGAAGUAUGUCGAACAAGCUAACAAAGGCCGACGACAUGUGGUCUUUGAGAAUGGUGACCAAGUUUGGAUACACUUAAGAAAGGAACAAUUCCCAGCCGAGAGGAGUAGCAAAUUGAUGCCAAGGGUCGAUGGGCCAUUCACUAUCACAAAACGGAUCAACGACAAUUCUUAUCAAAUUGAUCUCCGAGGUAAGUAUAACAUAAGUUCAAGCUUUAAUGUUUCAGAUUUAUCUCCUUUUCUUGUAGAUGAAACGGAUUUGAGGACAAAUCCUUUUCAAGAGGGAGGGCAUGAUAUGACUAUGGACGAACAAGACUUGGAGCAGCUCGUAGCCGAGGAGCAACAUGUAGCGGAGGAAGCUUUGGCCGACCCAACGGGCCCGAUGACUCGUUCGAAGACAAGACUUCUCAACCAAGCCGUUAGCGGACUCCUUAGACACUUGAAUCAGCCUACAAGCGAAGUUAUCCAAACCACUUUGGUUUCGAUAACAGCCCAAGACAAUUGGUAAUGGGCUAAGUGUUACUUGGGUACUCUUUUUCCCUUCUAAGGUUUUGUCCCAAUGGGUUUUCCUUAGUAGGUUUUUAAUGAGGCUUAAGUAACACUUCCAAAAACCCUAUUAUCAAUUUGGCCCAGCCCAUCCUAAAGAAGAAGAAGAUUUUUGCAAAUUUGAAGGCCAAGGGUCAUUUGUUGUGUUCAAUUUUCGUUUUAAUGCUUUGUUAUUUCCGAGUUGUCUUGGAGCUUGUUCCAAGACUAACUCUUCCUCUUCUCCCUUCUCUACUUAAGUCACUUGUACUUCUUCUUUGAGUUUUAUCUAAUCUUUUAUCAAAAACUCUUUCAAGUUAGAUCAAUUUUCUUGUUCUUCUCUUUGGUGCGUAAUAUCCAACGACGAGAUAAAGAUCGGUAAAUCAAAGGCCUUCCGUAACCUUUGUGCGACCAUUCAAUCCACUUCCUUUGCACCGAGUGAUCUUCCCAUCAUUUUGAUGCAAAGCCUAUCUCUUACUCAACCUCAAGAGUGCCGAUCUUAGGAUAAUUCUAUCAAGGCCCUUAUCAAAUCACAGAAAAAAUCCGAAAUGGUGUUUACCGUUUACAAGACCUUGACGGAAAUCUUGUUCAAAGGCCUUGGAACAUUAUCAACUUGAAAAAGUUCUAUUGCUAAAGCAAACAUAUUCGAACUACGAUUUGGCUUGAUCCUAUUAUGGGUACGUAGGCAGCUCGCUAAACACGAGUCCAGCUAUAAAAAUAAAAAUAUUAUUUCAAUCAUGGAAUCUUGUUUUUAUCCUCGGGCGUGAAUAAAAAAUACAUUGCAAACAAUGUGUAAAUAAAUAUUUCUUGCUAAACAAAAAUCAGAUCUAGAAGGGUCUUGAAUUACUAAAUAGUUCUGCUCCUUGCCCUGCGAGGUCAACGAUGCUCAUAAUGCAACCUGGCAUGUUUCCAUACUCCUGAAGUCCUAGUUCGAUCCAAUCGGAAGGAUGGGCUUCGAGGCGUUGAUGCUAAUUAACUGGCCUCUUCACGACGGCCUUGUAGAAGUUGAGAAAAUUAACGGAUGGGACUGGCCGAAUCUGGGGACUUGUGAGGAAACAAUUAAAUGUUGAAGCGCAGUUUGAAAUAAUGUAGGAAAUUUAUUCAGUUAAGUCCUAGUUUCUACCCAAAUUCGAUGACCAGUGAAUUCGAAGGAGUUCGGAAGAACUCUGAGUAGAAAAAUUAUCUAUGCGGAAGAAGAACCAAAACUUCCUCCAGACGUUGUCCUUUAAGGGCAGGCCGUCAAUAAGAUUCCGAUCCGCAAUCGGAUAAAGGGCAUAAUACCCAGAAGUUUGGGAUUCACGAGCCUGGAAAAGUUCCAAGAGUUUGCAAAGUCCCAGCGAGUAGCCCGCCUCCACCGCAACAGUAAAGGUACACAAAAGAUACCGGAGCAUGUUGGGCGACAUCUGAGAGAAGGCAAUUCCCAGAUGGUUGAGGUAGGUGAGAAGUAUCUCAGGAAGGGGAAAGAAUAAGCCGCACCCUUUGAAAUAAAUUUCAUAGGCGCAGCAGUAACCUUCUCGCCCCGACUCAGGAGACUCGAAGGGUUCCAGAACUAUCAUAUCCACCUCAGGGGGGAUGUGACAUAGUCUUCGAAGAUCGUCAAGAGAAUCGACAGUCGAUUCACUCUGAGGGUGAAGAUCAAACUCGUCUCCGGUAUGGAUUUGAGGUUCGGAUCCUUCACCCAUGAGAGCUUCGAGGUCAUCAACUUCAUACUCGCGAAAUUCGGGAGAAAGGUUCGACAUUUUAUAAAAAGGAUUUUUUACCGAAAGGAAACAAUGACUUCUGUAAUAAGAAUGAAAGUUCUCUAAGUAAAGAAGAUAAGAUGGAAAAGUAAUUUUACCUCUUAGAACCCUAAAGUAUGAUGGGAAACCGCCUCGAGAGUAUUGGGAAGUGGGACAGUUUUUCCCGCAGUAUUAAUAUAAAAUUAAGAAAUUAAUGAUGACGGUUGUCAGGGAUAUCAAAUCACUUGAUUAUCCGAGAUCAGCGUAAUAGCGUAAAACAUGGAAUAAUUCCAGAAUGUUAAAGAUCUCGAGUCAUUAAUUACUGUUUACUUAAGUCUUCCAAGACGAGUACUCAGCUAGCAAGACUUGGGGGUCUAAAUGUUGGGGUCGGAUCCCACACAUUUUCGGUAGGAUCCACUUGGAUCUGUCCACGUCAUUAUUACAUAAUAAUCCUCUUGGAAUUAAAGAUAUUUAUUAUAAGGAUCGCACUUAACCAGUCGGGAGUUCGAUUCAGUCUACUAAAAGAGUUCGAUCUUUACCAGUACGGAGUUUGCUCUUAUUCAACAUACAGUUCGCAUAGAAAAACGCCGAAGCGAGGAGAAUACUGUUCGGGGUUCGCGGUAGCAUCAAAGCAUGGGAGUUCGGAGUCAGCAAGAAAGAGUUCGAAAGGCCCACGUGAAGCCCAAGACAAGUUCAAAUUCAAGCCGUUUCGGUCAAAAUGUAACUUGUGUGAUUAAUGCGGAUCAAUAUGAUUACGAGUAGUAAAUAGCCGCAUUAAUCAUGUUUUCUCUAUAAAAGCAACCUCAAACGCAUGUGUUUGAGGGACACAAUCUUUUUACUCCUUACUAUCAAGCAAUACAACAUACUUUUUCUUUCACAAUUUCGCAAGGCUUCUUAUUAUUUUAUUCUUAUCAAAAUCCUUUACUUUAUUAGUUUCUUGGUUAUUUUUCUUUUCGAUUUCUUAUUUUCAUCCAUUGAUUUUAGAGUUUUUCUCCACAACAAUACUUAAAAACAAUCGAGUGUGAAUCCUACAUCCACAAUGGAGAUGAUGUAUGGGAAGAGUUGGAUACCGAAGAUGAGCUUUAGCUCGCAGCUUCAGAGCCAAUGUCGACCGACACCACCUGGUGUCGAUCGACACCCAUUUGUUUCCCGUGGAGAUCGACGUUUGACGAAGAGUUGUCGACCGCUACAGCUUCUCGAGGCUCGAUAGCAAGCCUCAGUGUCGACCGACACCACCUAGGUGUCGAUCGACACCACCUCGCCAAAACACAUGUUUUGACGUUUGAUGCAGAAGGGUCGACCAGUCAUGAUACAGUGGAGUCGACACCAUCUCAGAGUGUUGACCGACACUCACCUAGUGUCGAUCGACACUGGGUCCGAACAACUCCAUAUGUGCUUGUUUUCCCACCUACAACACCUGUCUACACGCCUCCAAUCCCUUUUCCUAGGAAGCAUUGCUCAAAGUAAGAGAUUCAGGAUGCACGCUGCAAGGCUAUUGAUGUGAGUCAAAUUAAGACCUAAGACUACUCUCUCAAAUAAGAGAUCGUGUGUAGCACUUUAGGGUCGAAUUCUACAAAGCUCUCGUGUUCACACAAUAGACUAACAGGUUUCGAAUUAAGCUAAACAGAAUAUAAGAAUAUUAAAAUAAAGAAAGCAAUUAAAUUCGGGUUUUAAUUCAGAUGAGGAAAACGUUAGGCUUAGGGAUUUCUCAGGAAAUAAACUAAUAGUAAAUCUAGCAAAUUAAUUAGGAUUAUUUAAUGAACCGUUCUAGAACUCAAAGCACUAAUGAAUAGCUAACCACCUCUCAAUGCGCUGACUAACAAGUCUAAUAUCAGUAAUUCCACCUCUCGAUGCGAAUUCUUAGAUCUAGACUAGAAUUAAAUUCAGGUUUGAUAUGUUCACCUUAGUAGAUAGGCCGAUUCUUAUUAUACACCUAUAAACCAGGCUCAUCUAAAGUAGUUCAGGUAACAAGUGCCCUCUCGGAUCAAAUACCUAUUAUCCUAAGAUCAGGUUCUAGUUAGCUACUCUAGAACAAGCAUUAAGAACAACCUAGAUGAAGAACUCUAUGGAUUAAUCCUAACAGGCAAUCAAUUUACUAGUUCAUCUAAAUCCCUAAUGAGAAUCCCUAAACCUAACAAGCAAACUACUCAGACAUGGAGAUUGAAACAAACAACAUGUUAUGAAUAGAAAGCAUAAAGAAAUUAAGAGAAGAAGUAAAAAAGUUUAAGAAAUCUUCUCUGGAGGAGCUCUCUCCAAUUAUCUCCCAAAGGGUUCAAGCUCCAAAGUACAAUAUAAUGAGAAUAUGAGAGAUUGAGAGAUGUCUCUAAAACAAAACCCUAAAAAUCUAUAUAUAUGUUCUUAAAAAUGUGCAGGGACUUCUUUGAAAAUAGGGAGAACUUCUGGGGUGAAUAUGCAAAUCUUCAUAACUUCAAUUAGACGCGAAAUUCAAUUGCCGUCAGAUCUUGGUGUCGACCGACACCAGGGGUGGUGUCAUUCGACACUUGCACGUAUUUUCGUCUCCGGAUUGCUCGCGCAGCAUAACUUCUCGGUUUUACUCCAGAAUGAUCCAUAAUCUCCAAAUUGGUCCCGAACGUGUAAAAACCUGAAAAGACUCAAAAACACUCUAGAAACAACAAAAAGACUCUAAAAACAAUACAUAUAUCAUGGCUAAAAUCGGUAAAAUCCGUGAUAUAUCAGCUAUCAUGGAGAAGAUCUAGACUACUCUUCCUAAAAUCAAUCCUGAAACAUCUUCUCCACCACUUGAGCGAUAUGUCAAGAGAUUGGUCAACAAUGGUAUUUGUGCUGAGGAAGCUACUUUGCUCACCAAGGAUCCAGUUUGAUUGUGCUGCAAGAAGCCAAGAAGGAGAGAAAGAAGAAAGUGGUUGUGUCUGAACACAUUAUCUCGAUCAUUCAGAGUCGAAUGCCUGAAAAGCUACCUGACCCAGGAAGCUUUGUUCUUGAUUGCUCCAGCAUCAAUCUGAUGCCACAUUUAAUUGUUGUGCGCCUCGGUAUGACUACUUACAGGCCCACAAGGAUCACUUUGCUUCUCACAGAUCGUUCUAAGCGAAUUCUCGAUGGUAUCAUAGAAGAUGUUCCCGUGAAGAUUGGUGAAUGUCUCAUACCUGCUGAUUUCGUGGUACUGGAAUACGAUGAAAAACCCAAGGAUCCUUUUAUCUUGGGUAGAGCUUUCUUAGCCACAACUGGUGCGAAGAUUGAUGUGAAGAAGGGACAAGUUUCGUUGGAUGUGUAUGAUGUGAAGAUGAAUUUUGACAUGAAAGGACCAAGUACACCUCCUAUUCUCAGUGGUAAGUCCUUCUCUGUUGAAUCUACACGGGAAUCUGCAAAGGAAUCGGGUUCUACUGCACAAAAGGAGCCCGACAUUGCUCAGCCUCCAAGCCAGUGUCGUUCAUAUGGACCGGUGUCAACCGACACCACCUGUGUCGAUCGACACCAACGACGAGCAGAGAAGCGAAUUUUGGCGAAAACAGCUCUUGGGACUGCAGACACUGCCAAGUGUUCGGGAGCUAUUCUCAAGCCAUACACAGCACCUCGCCCACGCUUUCCACGCCUUGAUCAGCAAAGGUAUUUCUCCUCUCCUCCUCAUCCUUUACCUUCUUCACUUAAUACUUCCAUAUCUUCGAAGAAGGCUUCAUAGGUAAAUGAGCCACAAGAUUCUCGAGUGCUUGUUUCUUCUGUUGAUGCAGGACAAGGAAUAAAGGACACCGCUGCAGCUUCUACAAGCUUCCUUGGACAUGAGCACGCCUCCACUGCUUACACUCCACCAUGGAUGGCAAGGCGUCGCUCCUCUGAGAAGUCUUCAAACACUUCUCAUGCUCCAACUCGCUCAUGAAUCCCGACAUAGUCAAGCUAAUGACUGAAAACAAGCACUUCGUGGGAGGCAAACCACUGGUAUGUUUUUCGUUUUUCUUUUCUUUUGUUCAUGUUUUUCUUUUUAUUUUAUUUUCGCUUACUCCGGAUUUGAAUGCCACUGGGGACAGUGUCUUUUAAGUCUGGGGGAGGUAGUUACUAAUUGUGUUUUUCUUUUUGAGUCUUAUUUUUCUUUUUCUUUUGAGUCGUUUUAUUGAGUCAAACUUUUUGUUGGAAAUUAUGAUCUUUUUCCCUAGAGUAUUGCCUGGUUAGUUUAAUGCUGCAGAUUCAAUUCAUUCCGACUAAUGGAAAAUCCAGAGAGUUGAUCAAUAGACUAGAGGACAUCCACGUUUCCAACACAAUCCGCUAAAGCCUAAGCAAAGUUUAUACUCUUCACCUUGUUAAUACGGUUAGUAUUCUCAGAACUUGACUCCUUGUUCAUACCUGAUAAAUAAGACCAAUGUAGAAAAAGAAUGGUACUCUUCUCCCUUACUCUAGAAAAAAAAAAGAUUGAGAUGAUUUUCUUUUGGAGUAAAGAGAUAGGAAAAUUUCCCGUGAUCUCAUUAUUUUACUUUAAGAGGAAUGGUCACACGAAGGUUGGAAGUGAGGUUAGGAACAUUUCCGAUGAUACAAUUAUUCGCCUACACCUUUGAAGUUAAAAAAAAAAAGGUUUGAAAAAGAAUAAGUCUGGGGAGAGAAAGAGUACCUAAGUGUGUAAAAUGGUAUAGUACGAGAAUCAGUCUAGAAAUUUCUUGAGUACUAAUUUUAUUGAUGAGAUUUAUGCGAUGAGGGCUAUAGGAUAUAGUUGUGGAAUUUGGUUUGGAAUUUGGAAUGUUAAGAAUGCUUGCAGAGAAUUACAUGACGGUUAGGAUUUGAUGCGAUCUGCUAGGCAUUUGGAUUUGGUUUGGAUGAUCAAGGUAAUAGGCUAGAGAAAUUGGGAGUUUCUAUGUUUUCAAACUUCUUCCACGGGUUCGGUUUUUGUGUGUUUUCUUGAGGGCAAGCAAAAGCUAAGUCUGGGAGAGUUGUUAUAUCCCGGAUUUCACCAAUUUUAGCCAUGAUAUAUGUGUCAGUUUUAGAGUCUUUUUGUUGUUUCUAGUGUCUUUUUGAGUCUUUUUCAGGUUUUUACACGUUCGGAACAAAUUUGGAGAAAAUGAACCAUUUUGGAGCUAAACCGGAGAUUUAGAGCUGAGGAACGAAUUCGGCAUCAAACCAAGGCAUGAGUGUCGACCGACACCCUUGGAGUUUUAAAGCCCGAAGAAUCAACCCAGAAGACUUCCCUAUUUGCAUCUUUAGUCCCUGCACGUUUUUGGAGAUAUUAUAAGUAGUUUUUAGGGUUUCUUAUUUCAUUAUCUUGUUUACCCUGCAAUCUUGUUUUCUGCUUUUGGUUUGUAAUUCUCUGAGCUUGAACCCUUUGGAAGAGAAUUGGAGAGAGCUACUUUGAGAGAUUUCAAAUCCUUGUUAGAGAGAAGAUUUAUUCUAAACUCUAUUCUCCUUUUGAUUUCUUAUUUCAAUUUAUUCAAACAUGUUUUCGGUUUCAUUAAUCAUGUCUGAGUAAUCACCCUGUUAGGUUUAGGGAUUCUCAUUAGGGAUUUAGAUGAAGUAGUAAAUCAGUUACCUGUUAGGAUUAAUCUGUAGAGUUCUUCACUUUAGGUUGUUCUUAAUGCUAGUUCUACAGUAGCUAACUAGAACUUGAUCAUAGGAUAGUAGGUUUUGAUCCGAGAGGACGCCUGUUACUGGAACUAUCUUAGGUGGGCAGAGAUUUCUAGAUUCAUACGAGAGGUGGUCUAGGAAUAUUUGUGAACAUAUCAAACAUGUUUUUAAUGCUAGUCUAGGUCUAGGAAUUCGCAUUCGAGAGGGUGGAAUUACCUGAUAUUAGAUUAGUUAGUUAGCGCAUCUGAGAGGGUGGUUAGCUAUACUUUAGUGUUUUGAGUUCUGAACGGUUCGCUAAACAAUCCUAAUUAAUUUGCUAGAUUUAUUAUUAGUUUAUUUCCUGAGAAUUUUCUUAAACAUGAUGCUUUAAUCUAUUGAUCUUUUUACCUGAUAAAAUUGUCUGCUCGCUUUAUUUUAAUUCAUAUUGUUUUAUUUAGCCUAAUUUCGAAACUGUUAGCUUAUUGUGUGAACAAAAGAACUUUGUGGAAUUCGACCCUUAAGUGCUGCAAUUGAUCUCUUAUUUGAAAGACUAGUUCUAGGAGUUAAUUUGACUCAUAUCAGCAGGAAGAGAGGAGCUCUCUAAUGGUAGUGGCUCCUUCGCCUUGUUGGGAUUUGAACAAGUUAUUGUAGUAGUCUGAGAUGACUUCAAUGAUUUUUUCCUCUCUAUAGAAGCUCUGGUCCGAAUCAUCUUCUAUGACAGAGAACUUUUUUACUGUUUUUCUUCCUUUUAUUAUAGCAUUGAAAUAACCUGUGUUUCUGUCACCCAAAGUUAACCAAAGUUGACGGCUUCUCUAUUUCCAAAACUCCUCAUCUUCCUUAUAAGCUAUUUGCAGGUCAUUAUUGAUUGAAGAAAUCAUCAUACUGUUGGAGAGAGAACUACUAAUUGCCAGAUCCUUUCAUCUAAUUUGAACAUAUUUAAUAAAAUGAGUGUAUGUAGACGAGUGGUAUUAUUUUGGGAAAAAUGUCGAAAAAUGCGCCAAGUUUCAAAUUUGGAACGAUUAAAGCAGGAACUCUCGAAAUGUCUCUUUAAUCACAAAGUUUCUGUUGACCUAUAUGAAAAUAGCUAAGUUUUCGUUGACCUGGCCAAAUUAGGCAUCCCGUUAAGUCCCCGUUAUAAUGACACUGACGCUGUUAACAAUCCGUUACAAGUCUCCGUUAGAUCAAAACGACGUCGUUUGAAAACUUCAAAACGACGUCGUUUCACCAGAAAAUAAGAAGGAAAAAUGGCAUCUUCAAAUAUUGGAACUGCUGACUUGUUACACCAAUAAGAGACACUCAACCAUUAAGCUACGAGAACAUUUUAAUGUUAUAACAAACAGAACAUAUAUAUAUAUAUAUAUAUAUAUAUAUAUAUAUAUAUAUAUAUAUAUAUAUAUAUACUAAAAAUAACAUUAUACAAUUAAUUAGAAAUAUAUGCAAUUAAUUAAAAAUAACAAAACUAAAAAAUAAUAAUAACCAAAAAUACAAAUAUUAAAUAUACUUAUCAUAUUUAGGUUUAGGUUUAAACACAAAUAAGUUUAGGUUUUUAUAAUUUAGGAAAGAAUAAUUUUCCAAAAUAGAAUAAAAUCUUUAUAUAUAUAUAAUUAUAUAUUUAAAAUUUUGAAAUAUAUAUUUAAGGUAAGUAUAUUUAAUAUUCGUAUAUGUUUGGUUAUUAAUUUGUUUUUAAUUUUGUUAUUUUAAAUUAGUUGCAUAUAUUUUUACCUAAUAUAUGUUGCCAGUUUUUAGUAUAUAUACACGUACUAUUUAGGGUAACAGGUCAGCAAUUCGAAUCUUUGAAGAUGCCAUUUUUCUUUCUUAUUUUUUGGUGAAACGACAUCGUUUGAAAACUUCAAAACGACGUCGUUUUGAUCCAACGGAGACUUGUAACGGAUUGUUAACAGCGUCAGCGUCGUUCUAACGGGGACUUAACGCGAUGCCUAAUUUGGCCAGGUCAACGAAAACUUAGCUAUUUUCAGAUAGGUCAACAGAAACUUUGUGAUUAAAGAGACAUUUCGAGAGUUCAUGCUUUAAUCGUCCCAAAUUUAAAAGUUGGCGCAUUUUUCGACAUUUUUCCCGUAUUAUUUUAGAUGGUAUAAAUAUAUAUAUUUUGCUAUUACAAAAAAGAUAGAAUUUAAAUUUUUGUCAAUUUAUAUUUUGGUUCUUGUAAAAUUGUACUUGUUGCAAUUAUUUUGUUGUUAUGAUCGAGAAAUAUGUUUCUUAGUAAUUAAAAGAUAUUGUAAAACAAUACACUUCGUUCCACUAUUUUUGUUAGAUAUAGAUUAUUUUUCUCUUUCUUUUUCUUUUUUUGUGGUGAGAUAAAAUUUGUAAAAUGAAAUUAUUUGGUUUGAUCCUUCUGGUCAGCCUAACUUAUCGACACUAAAUUCACUCCAUCCUUUAAUUUUGUGUUAAAUUUAGUUACGCCAUUAGAAAUAUUCAAUAAUAGUGAACCAAUUUUUACCAACAAAACUCUAUAAAUUAUGUUUAUUUCAAUCUUUAGAUUCAUAUUAAUCGAAAAAAUAUUUUACUUCAAAACAAAAAAAUGAAUAAUCUCUUAGGUUUCAUUUUUCUUAUUGCUAUGUAUUUUGGAUUGCGUGAGGCAUCUAACUGCUGGGAUCAGAAGGUAGAAAUUCAAAACAGACUCGGUCCAGGUCGUAUUCUAAAAGUUGGAUGCAGUGAUUCACCAAACACCACCCACUGGUUGAAAUUCAAUGAGAAUUAUUUACUUUCAUCUGGCCAAAGAAGACAAAAUAUCUUUGCCAACAAAAAAAGAAGACAAGAUAUAUGGGUAUGUCACAUUGUUCACUGGCCUACAAAACAACCUUAUGCAUAUGAUCUUAUGGCAGAAUUAGGAUCAAGACUUCCCCCAUGUAUACAUGGGUUUCGCUCAUGGAUUGCUAAAGUUGAUGGAAUUUACUAUGAGCAUAAUAAAAUUAAACCAGGGUACCGCCUACUUGGAUGGAAAAAAGUGGAUACUAAUACUAUAGAAAACUAAUGUAAGAGUUGCAUAUCAAUAUUUUUUUUUAAAACUUAUUUUAUUAAACUAAUUAGUAUUCAAGAAUAAAGUGGGUACUAAUACUCCAGAAAACUAAUGUAACAGUUGCAUAUCAAUUAUGUUCUUUUUAUUUUAUUUUAUUUUAUUAAACUAAUUAGUAUUCAAGAAUAAAGUUGUUUGCUUUGUAAAGUAAUUUAUCAUUGCAUGUUGUUACAAAAAAGGUUUUAACUUCAAUAAAA
This 36126-nucleotide long non-coding RNA is filed under the name Arabidopsis lyrata. RNAcentral's name for it is "long non-coding RNA (ALYR_LNC003157)". The stretch from base 11372 to 11478 matches the Rfam family "Plant small nucleolar RNA R71". The record is from RNAcentral. Lineage: Eukaryota; Viridiplantae; Streptophyta; Magnoliopsida; Brassicales; Brassicaceae.